UUACGUACAAUACAAGCCAUUAUAAAAGAUUCAAAUUCCUAAAAUACCACUAAAAAACUUCUUGCACCCUGUGAGCCAGCUGACUCAACUUUUUGUUACUCUCCGAGCCACUUCCGUCUAUUUGAGGUCAAGCGGGAGCUAAUGGAGAGACGCAAUAUCUAUUCUGCCCUUCAUGUCAUUAUGGUGGGAUAGCGAACUGACAUGUACGGUCCACAUGUCAUCCUUAUCUCUUUCUUCUUCCUUCACCUUCGCCCGCUGCAGUUGCGAUUGACUCGCCGGCGUCGGCCAUCCUCGCUUGUGGCCAUGCGGCUCUGGUCGCCAGCGCGCCACCCAGCAGUCGCUACCCCUAUCCUGUCUCGCCACCCUGGUCGCUAGCGCGCCACCCAGCAGUCGCUAUCCCUGUCUCCUGCCUCGCCGCCAUCGUCACACGAGACCACUCCGCGCGUCCGUCACAGCUCUCCUCUUGCUUCUACACCGAGCAAACCUGCAGCUGCAGCCGUACCUCUUAUCCCCGGUUCUCCAAUUGGCAAGCGAGCAGCUACAAAGCCACCAAAAGAGCCUCCCUUUCCCCAAUCGGAGGAGCAGCAGCUCACACCACCACCUACACCAUGUCGUUUUCUCUCAAAAUUGAUCUCCAAGCAAGCAGGCAACGGCGCACUGCACCUCGCUCCACCGCCUCCGCCGCCUCCUCGGCCUCUGCUGCCGCCUCCCCGCCUCCGUCUCCGCCUACCUGUCCCGCUCAGCUCGCCCCUCGCCGCCGUCGAGUGGGCCUCGUGCGCCACGCUCGCGGGCUCCCUCCUCCGUGCGCGGCGGUGCCAUCUCCAGGGGAUGAGUUCGUGAGGGGGGCAUCACCGCGCCGUCGACUCCGCGGGCCACGAGGUGGGGCAUCACUACGUCGUAGACACCAUGGGCGAUGGCGGCACAGCGCCACGAGGGGCUCGGCUGCUUCCUUUCCCGACGACGACCGGCGUCUCUUCUUCCGACUUCUCGGCAUCCCGUCCCAGUCCUGUAUGGCGCCACAGCCGACCUGCCACAGAUCUCUAUCUCCCUCUGGAUCUUGCACCGCUGGAGCCAAGGUACACCGAUGCCGUGCCACUCUCCCUCCGCUCCCAGCGUGGUGGAGAUCUGUGCAAAGCUGGGCGGCGGCCGUCGUGCCUGGAGGUGCGUAUGGGGCCUACAGUUGGCGAGCGAGAAGAUCCAGCGGGGAAGCGGGCGGAGUGUGUUGGAAAUCGAAGUGGUUUGUCAACAAGAAUCAAGUGGUUUGCCUGUAAUAGAAGGGGGCGUACCUUUAAAUUUGUUAGCACUAGCCUCCGAUUGAAUGCCGGCUGCUACCGUGAGGUUUGAUUUAAGCAGAGAUCCUAAAUGGACAAGUUACAAUAAAAGUACGCUGGCUAGAACACCAGCCGCAAGUUACAAGAAAAAGAACCUUGGUGCAUGGGCUGCAUGCAGGCACUUAAAUGUAGCGUGCUGCUAUCUACGACUAGUUUGAUUUAGCCUAGAUACUGUCUACACAAGGGUUAAAAAUCCCAACAAUUCUUCCCCUAAACCUUGUGUGCCUUGCUCGAGGAUACUUGGAUCAUCCCAAUUCUGGAUCGCAGCUCCUGAAACUUUACUUGCCCGAGUGCCUUUGUCAGGAUGUCAGCGAGCUGGUCCUUGAUGUUGAUGUAGUCGGUGUCGAUAAAUCAUUUCUCAAUGCAGUCGCGAAUAAAGUGGUACCUCAACUCGAUAUGCUUGCUUCGCUCAUGGAAGACGGGAUUCUUGCUCAGCACCAGUGCCGAUUUGCUGUCCAUCAUGAGCUCCACGCACUCGGCCUUCCUUGCCAUGAGUUUAUCGAGUAGUCGCGUGAGCCAGACCGCUUGAGUUGUUGCCGCGGCAACCACAACAUAUUCUGCCUCACACAAUGAUAGAGCCACCACUCAUUGCUUGAGUGAUUGCCAACUCAUCGGGCACUUCCAAAGGAAGAAGAGGUUGCCGCUGGUGCUCUUGCGGUUGUCGAUGUCGCCGGCAUGGUUGCUGUCGCUGUAGCUAGUCAACCGAGUUGUUUUUGUUGACUUCUUGUAGCAUAGGCCGUAGUCGAGCGUGCCGUUGAUGUAGCGAAGGAUGCGCUUCACCGCCUUGAUAUGCUCUUCAGUCGGCCUCUCCAUGAAACGACUCACAAAUCCAACCGCAAAGGCGAGAUCUGGUCGUGUGUGGAGGAGGUACCGGAGGCUUCCGACUAGUCACCGGUACUGGAUGGAGUCGACUUCCGGAACAGUGCUGUCGCGGCUCAGGCAGCCUUUCCUCCAUGGGCCUCUUGGCAGGGUGGCACCCCUCCAUCCCGCCAAUCUUCACGACUUGGACGGUGUACUGUGCUUGGAUCACAGUGAUGUGCCCACCCUCCUGAUGCACCUCAAUGCCAAGGUAGAAGGAGAGAAGGCCGAGAUCAAUCAUCUGGAAUUGGCCCUUCAUCUCCUUCUUGAACUUGUCGAUGGCCUGCUCAGAUGAUCCGGUGAUCACCAGAUCAUCGACGUAGACACCGACUAGUAGUCGCUCCCCGUGCUUGCCACCACCCCGCCUGUAAAUGGCGUGCUUGUGCGCGCUCUGCUUGAAGUCGAGUGCUUUUAAUGUUGAGUCAAGCCUCGCGUUCCAGGCCCGCGGCGCCUGUCGUAAGCCAUAGAGGGCCUUACGCAGUCACAGCACCUUUCCUUCCUCCCUUGGGACAACGAACCCAAGGGCCUGCUUGACGUAGACCUCCUCCUUUAGGUCUCCAUUUAGGAAGGCCGGUUUGACGUCCAUGUGGUGGACACUCCAGCUCACUUGAGCUGCAGGAGCCAGAAGUAGUCGCACCGACUCCAUGUGAGCCACAGGCGCGUAUACUUCAUCCAAAUCGACGCAGGCCUGCUGAACAAAGCUGCGCGCCACCAAUCGCGCCUUGUGCUUGAUGACUUUGCCUGCCUUAUCGCGCUUCAGCUUGAACACACAUUUUAGCCUAAUGGCUUGGUGCCCAACUGGGAGUUUAACCAACUCCCAAGUCUUGUUGCGCUCAACAGAGUUAAUUUCAUCGCGUAUUGCCACCCUCCAUGCUUCCUCCCGCUCCGCCUUAGCAAAGGAGCAUGGCUCCCCCAUGCUGGUGAACAUCAACUCCGCCUCCUCGAAUUGUACUUGCUCAAGGCCUGGGUAAGGCUCACUCAGCAAGUCUUCUAUUGUGUGAUAGCGCAGUGGGGCAUCAUCAUGGUCGUUGUCGUGGCACGAGUCAUUGCUGAAAUGAGUCGGGGAAGAACUCGGAGCAGCGCUCGUGGGUGGAUCAGCACUUGGAGCGGCCUCUCGAGUACUUGGAGUGCCCUCCCGAGAAUGUGGAGUGGCCUCUCUUGUGCUUGGAGUACCCGCACGAGCACUCAGAGUGGCUUCACGAGUACUUGGGGUACCCUCGCGAGCACUUGGAGGGGCCUCACGAGUACUUAGACUGCCCUCACGGGCACUUGGAGUCGCACUAGCGGGAGCGGAGGAAGUCGGGGAAGCAGUCGAGGGGGGGGGGUCGCUUCACCCCCGGAAGUACUCAAGAUAGGGCUCGUGGUACUCGGAGACAUACCAGGGGAAGUCGGAGAUGCAUCCGUGGGGGCAACUGACUCCUCCGCAACCAUCGCAGCUUCCACCAGGUACUUGACGACGAAGUCAGAGUUACACCCGGUGUUACUAUCUUCCUCCUGCGACCAGUUCCAGCUAUGACCUUCAUCAAACACUACGUCGCGCGUUGUGCGCAUACGCUGUGUCACUGGGUCCAGCACCUGGUAGGCCUUGACUCCUUCCUCGUAGCCAAUGAAGAUGCCUGGGGUCGACCGGUCUUCAAGCUUGUCACGAUGCCUGAUUUCCUUUACGUACACCAGGCACCCAAAAGUGCAUAGGAACUGGACCGCCAGCUUGCUUCCAUGCCACGCCUCGUAUGGCGUCUUAUUGGAGAGGGCCCGGGUGGUUGAGCGGUUAAGGAGGAACAUGGCCAUGCUCACCGGCUAUACCCAGUAGAUGGCCGGCAUGCCCCUCUGCUUCAGUAGGGCACGCACCAUUGCUACCACUGACUGGUUGCGUCGAUCCACCACGCCAUUCUGUUGCGGCGUGUGAGGCGCCGAGUGGUGCCGCUCCACACCCUGGCCAGCAAAGUACUCGGUGAAGGACGCCGACAUGAACUUGCCGCCAUUAUCGGUGCGGAACACCCUCAGCUUCCUCCCACACUUGUUCUCAGCAGCCACCUGGAUCUUCUUAAUGGAUUUCGGCACGCUGCUCUUCUCUACGAGGAAAGAAGCCCACAUAUACCUCGUGGCAUCCUCCACCAGUAGCAGGAUGUAGCACCGGCCUCCUAGAGUCGCCAGCGUGAUGGGGCCGCACAAAUCAUCGUGUACGAGUUCGAGCGGCCUGUCCUCUGUGUACUUGGCCUGCUUGGGGAAGGGGGCGCGUUGGUGCUGUCUGUGUUUUACUGCCACGCCCACCGAGGGAUACCCUCGAGGUGGUGAGUUUGUAGGUAGGGUGUCGCCAAGAUUAGGAACUCGAAGGUGCAAAGGAACACAAGGUUUUAGAUAGGUUCGGGGCAUCGAGAGCGUAAUACCCUACGUCCUGUGUUGUUUGUAUUGCCAUUGAUGAUGAUUAUCUCCGAGGGGGUCCCUGUCCACCCUUAUAUAGUCUGGGGGGACAGGUUUACAUGGAAGUCUUAGUCGGGUACAAGCCCAGGAGUCCUACCCGAGUACUUAUCGUGUAGUUUCCUACCAUGUCCGACUAGUUCCACUACUGUACCAGUAAUCCUACUAUAUUACGAGUAAUUAUAAUAGAUGUAGGGCGUGGGCCAUAUGUCAUCCCGUAUCCUAGGAGAAGUGUGCCAUGUGGGCAGUCCCGUGUGCCCGGGUCUGACAGGUGCUUGGUGGUGAUGCAGACGUCACACAGCUGCUCAACGUGAGCCAGCUGCGGCAGCCUGCACACCAUGCUCCUCCGCACCACCUGCUAUAGGGCGCCGAAGUUGAUGUGCCCGAACCGGUCAUGCCACCGCUAGACAUCAUCACCAUGGCGUGCGGUGAGGCAGACUGACCUCGCGACCUCCAGUCACAGCACGUACAGCCUGUUCCCGCUGCGUGGAACCCUUGCCAACAACCGGCUCUCACGAUCAUGGAUCCGCAAAACACCUUCUUCAAUGUGGAUCUUGGACCUGAUCUCGUCAAGUUGCCCAACUGAGAUGAUCGAGUUGGCGCAGCUUUGGGAUGUAGCAGACCCUAUCUAGGGCCUUGUGUUCCGCGUUCCUCCCGGAGAAGAUGACGGUGCCACAACCAUGGAUGGGCACGACCGACCCGUCACCGAACUUGAUGGAGCCACGCAUGGCCCAAUUGAGCUAGGAGAAGACGUCGCUGCGCCCCGUCAUGUGGUUGGUGGCCCCUGUGUCCAGGUACCACCCUUCCAUCAACUCAUCUUCACCGCCCUUUCCAAAGUACGCUUGAGCCCGAGGCUCCUCGAUGCAGGUAUUCCUAGUAGCCGUCGUCACAGGUAGGGGAGCAGACUCGCGGUCGACCACGUGGUCACCCGAGUAUUCAUCAGCCGCCUUCUUUACCAUCCCAACUACUUCCUUGGCCUCCUGCAUAGAAAACAACUUGAUUUGUGGCUCCUCCGAGUGGUUUUCCACACAGACCUGUGCCAUGAAAAGGCACGGCUCUUCUUCCGCCUGGGCCACGUGCGCUUGCCCCUUCUUGGGCUACUUGCACUCAUGUUCCCAGUGGCCAGCACAGCCACAGUUGUGGCAGGUGUCAUCACGCGGCGUCUUCCUCACCUCACCGCCAUCAACUGUUUUCUUCUUUGAAGCCGGCGAGCAUUGACACUGGCUCCUGCUGCCUCCAGUCCUGGAUGAGCCCUCACCCGACUCGCGAUCUUGUCGAUGCGGUGCAUCUGCAUACAACAGUUUGCCCGAGUCGCGAUUCGAGUCGGCGCAAUCCAUGCGGUCCUCCUGCACCUUCAGACACCCGGUCACCUCCUCUAGUGAGAGGGAGGAGAUGUCUAGCAACGUCUCGAUGGAUGUCACCAGGUGGUCGAACAGAGGUAGCACCGACUAAAGGAGCUUCUCGACUACUCGCUGCUCCUCCAUCUCCUCACCUAGUUCCUCCAUGUUGAUGAUGAGGUUGGACAGGCGCAGACCAAAGUCAUCCACCUUCUCACCACUACGACAUGUCAUGGCUUCAAACUCCCUUCGCAGCUGUUGGGCCCUGCCCUUCUGGACUUUGUUGCUGCCGACGCACAUUGUCUUGAUGGCAUCCCACGCAUCUACAGCCGACUACUUCUUGGCCACCUGCGGCACCAUCUCUGGCGGCACUGAGAGGAUAAGGACCUCUCUGGCCAUGCAAUCUUCCUGGAAGUUGCAGUCGCCAUACUCGAUGGCGUCCCAGAGGUUGCGAGCUUGGAGCAUUACCUUCAUGACCAGGCUCCAAUGGGUGUAGUUGGAUCUCAUUAGUGUCGGGUACUUUGCGCCACUCAACUCCUUCACUAACCUCUGAACGGCCGGCCAGUCCCUAUCCUGGUAGCGCUGCUCAUGUGGGGAAGGGGAGGGAUGUCUCCGGUGGUGAUGUAAGGUUACAGAGUCAUUCGACGAUGACCCCCCCCUGCAUCUUUCUCACCAACUGACUUCUUCUCCUUUUUCACUUGCCGCUUCGAGUCUUCUGGCCGCUUGUCCUUGGGCGUCAGGUCCUCCUUCCCAUGGAGGCCUUCUUCGCCCUCGAUCGGCUUCUUGCUCUCCAGCGAGUCAUGCCUAGACCCAUCAGGCUUCCUGGAUGGAGACAUUGAUCCAACGGAUACUUGACCUAGGCUCUGGUACCAAUUGUUGGAAAUCCACCUCCCACUGAGUGGUUUCUCAAGCACAACCGAGUGGUUUGCCUAGACUGGAAGGGGAUGAACACAUGCACACCUUUGAGGUUGUUUGCACUAGGGCUCCAACUGGAUGCCGGUUGCUGCUGUGAGCUUUGAUUUAAGUAGAGGUCCCAAGGGGACAAGUUACAAUAAAGGGGCGCUAGCUACAAGACCAGGCGCAAGUUACAAGAAAACGAACCUUGGUGCACGGGCUGUAUGCAGGCAAUAAAUGCAGCAUGCUGCUACCUACGACUAGUUUGAUUUAGCCUAGAUACU
This 7122-nucleotide long non-coding RNA is filed under the name Panicum hallii. RNAcentral describes it as "long non-coding RNA (PHAL_LNC000685)". The record is from RNAcentral. Lineage: Eukaryota; Viridiplantae; Streptophyta; Magnoliopsida; Poales; Poaceae.